CGACCCCAGGUCAGGCGGGGCUACCC
Molecule: ribosomal RNA, 26 nt
Filed under: Opuntia arechavaletae
Lineage: Eukaryota; Viridiplantae; Streptophyta; Magnoliopsida; Caryophyllales; Cactaceae
Description: partial 26S ribosomal RNA
Source: RNAcentral